RNAcentral lists this ribosomal RNA (825 nucleotides) under Streptococcus sanguinis. RNAcentral describes it as "bacterial SSU rRNA". It matches the Rfam family "Bacterial small subunit ribosomal RNA", at positions 87 to 899 of the family's 1533-position model. Lineage: Bacteria; Bacillati; Bacillota; Bacilli; Lactobacillales; Streptococcaceae. The record is from RNAcentral.
UUGGAUGAGUUGCGAACGGGUGAGUAACGCGUAGGUAACCUGCCUGGUAGCGGGGGAUAACUAUUGGAAACGAUAGCUAAUACCGCAUAAAAUUGAUUAUUGCAUGAUAAUUAAUUGAAAGAUGCAAUUGCAUCACUACCAGAUGGACCUGCGUUGUAUUAGCUAGUUGGUGAGGUAACGGCUCACCAAGGCGACGAUACAUAGCCGACCUGAGAGGGUGAUCGGCCACACUGGGACUGAGACACGGCCCAGACUCCUACGGGAGGCAGCAGUAGGGAAUCUUCGGCAAUGGGGGGAACCCUGACCGAGCAACGCCGCGUGAGUGAAGAAGGUUUUCGGAUCGUAAAGCUCUGUUGUAAGAGAAGAACGGGUGUGAGAGUGGAAAGUUCACACUGUGACGGUAUCUUACCAGAAAGGGACGGCUAACUACGUGCCAGCAGCCGCGGUAAUACGUAGGUCCCGAGCGUUGUCCGGAUUUAUUGGGCGUAAAGCGAGCGCAGGCGGUUAGAUAAGUCUGAAGUUAAAGGCUGUGGCUUAACCAUAGUAUGCUUUGGAAACUGUUUAACUUGAGUGCAGAAGGGGAGAGUGGAAUUCCAUGUGUAGCGGUGAUAUGCGUAGAUAUAUGGAGGAACACCGGUGGCGAAAGCGGCUCUCUGGUCUGUAACUGACGCUGAGGCUCGAAAGCGUGGGGAGCAAACAGGAUUAGAUACCCUGUUAGUCCACGCCGUAAACGAUGAGUGCUAGGUGUUAGGCCCUUUCCGGGGCUUAGUGCCGCAGCUAACGCAUUAAGCACUCCGCCUGGGGAGUACGACCGCAAGGUUGAAA